GGGAUAGCUCAGUUGGUAGAGCAGAGGACUGAAAAUC
RNAcentral lists this transfer RNA (37 nucleotides) under Lycoris koreana. Its description in RNAcentral is "partial tRNA-Phe". The record is from RNAcentral. RNAcentral also lists the same sequence under 4 other names. Lineage: Eukaryota; Viridiplantae; Streptophyta; Magnoliopsida; Asparagales; Amaryllidaceae.